This 2386-nucleotide ribosomal RNA is filed under the name Tegonotus sp. AH2_2. RNAcentral describes it as "partial small subunit ribosomal RNA". It matches the Rfam family "Eukaryotic small subunit ribosomal RNA". The record is from RNAcentral. Lineage: Eukaryota; Metazoa; Arthropoda; Arachnida; Trombidiformes; Eriophyidae.
UGUAAAGUUCAAGCUCCGAUUAUGAGGGCGAAACCGCGAAUGGCUCAUUAAAUCAGUCAUAAUCUACUUGAUUGUUUAAAGUUUAUAUGGAUAACUGUGGUAAUUCUAGAGCUAAUACAUGCACAAAGAGGACGACUCUCGCCUUCACGGGUUGGGAGAAGUUCUGCGUUUAUUAGACUAAGACCAAUGGUUGGUAGCAAUACCAAUCCAUUAAUUAAGGUGACUCUGAGUAAAUAAUGGGUGAAAGCCCAUGUUGCUGACCUGACAUCUCAAAAGGCUCGCAAGGGUCUGUCAGGCAAAUCAAUCGUGUGUCUGCUCUAUCAACUGUGGAUGGUAGGAUAAUUGCCUACCAUGGUGAUGACGGGUAACGGGGAGUUAGGGCUCGACUCCGGAGAACAAGCCUGAGAAACGGCUAGUAGGACUAAGGUCUGCAGCAGGCGCGAAACUUACACAAUGCUAGAUUACAAUUAGCGAUGUAGUGAAGAAAAAUAACGAUGUACUUCCAUUUAAACAUGGUAGUACAAUUGGAAUGAGACGACUAUAAAUGAGUUAGUCGAGUAACAAAUGGAGGGCAAGUCUGGUGCCAGCAGCCGCGGUAAUUCCAGCUCCAUUAGCAUACAUUAAAGUUGUUGCGGUUAAAAAGCUCGUAGUUGAAUUUUAGGCGGGCUCUAUUGGGCGGCAUCCGUUAAGGUUUUCCUGAAGUAAGCCUGUUUCUUAAUUGAUCAGUAGCUGUCUGGUUAAAACUGGUUGUUUUGCCCUGAUAGGAACCCGCUGUUUCGUCACUUAAUCGAGUGCGAAGCGGGCUGGAACGAUGAGUUCGGUCCUCUUCGGAGGCAACCGUUCAUGUUACAGCAUGUUUACCUUGAGAAAAUUAGAGUGCUCACAGCAGGCAGUUGGGGUGUAAAAGCUCCUUUAUGCUUGAAUAAUGUUGCAUGGAAUAAUAGAAUACGGCCUCGGUUCUAUUCUGUUGGUCUUAUAGAACAACAAACAAGUUGGUUAAAGCGAUCAAAAGUCUCUUUGUGAGCGUGGCUUUGAGGGUGUUGUUUGGUUAGGAAUAAACUAGCCGUUACUCAUACGUGUCUCUAGUCUCUGUUGUCUGGGGCCUUAAAAUCUCAGUACCAGGAUGGUCAUGUUGGGGCGGUUUAUGUGUAUUUUUGGCUAACUUCCUACUCAUUGUCAUUUAAAGCGCUUCUUAGUUGGCUAGCUUUUCAAUCAACUGAGGCAAUGGUUAAAAGAAAUAGUCGCGGCGGCAUCAGUACUGCAUCGUGAGAGGUGAAAUUCUUAGACCGAUGCAAGACUAACUGAAGCGAAAGCGUUUGCCGAGGAUAUUUUCAUUAAUCAAGAACGAAAGUUAGAGGUUCGAAGGCGAUCAGAUACCGCCCUAGUUCUAACCAUAAACGUUGCCAACUAGCAAUUGGGUUGCGAUUCCUUUAAUCGAAGCUUAAAACACUUCGAUCAUUAUGAUCCACCCAGCGGCUCUCGUAGGGAAACCAAAGUGUUUGGGUUCCGGGGGAAGUAUGAUUGCAAAGUUGAAACUUAAAGGAAUUGACGGAAGGGCACCACCAGGAGUGGAGCCUGCGGCUUAAUUUGACUCAACACGGGGAAACUUACUAGAUUAGAACUCUGGAAUGAUUGACAGAUUGAUAGCUCUUUCUUGAUUCAGAGGAUGGUGGUGCAUGGCCGUUCUUGAUUCGUAUUCCGAAACGUCUGCUUAAUUGCGAUAACGAGUGAGACCUCACCCAACUAACUAGUCGUUUGGUGCGCUGUGGAACGCAAAAGUCUUGGCGGGAUUUUUGUUGGUGUUCGGGUUGGGUUUCGGCUUAAUUCGGCGCUAGCUGCCCGUUUGAGAUGUUCUCUGUUCGCCAGCGGACUUCUUAGAGGGAUAAACGGUGUUUUAGCCGUAAGAAACGAGGCAAUAACAGGUCUGUGAUGCCCUUAGAUACUCUAGGCCGCACGCGUGCUACAAUGGCGUGUGCAGAGAGCUUGUUCGAGGUUUGUCUAAAGAGAACUAGUUGUUUGGUUUAGAUGUUUGGCUGGUAGCAAUAUUGGUUAGGCGUUUAAAUCGGCAGAAAAGUGACUUUAGUUAGCAGGCCGAGAGAAACCGUAGUCGAAAGAUUACGGCAAUCAAAAAUACACGCCGUGAUUUGGGAUUGGGGAUUGCAAUUGUUGCCCAUGAACGAGGAAUUCCCAGUAAGCGCAAUUCAUCAUAUUGCGUUGAUUACGUCCCUGCCCUUUGUACACACCGCCCGUCGCUACUACCGAUUGGAAGUUUUAGUGAGGCAUUUGGACCUGCCGUCCAUUGGAAGGGGCAACUCUUCUUGGUUGGCGGGGAAGUCUGUCGAACUCAAAUUUCUAGAGGAAGUAAAAGUCGUAACAAGGUUUCCGU